UGACAAGGGGGCCCAGCCAAUGGGGGUGGCGAGCCGUAGCUGCCCUCCCGCGCGUUCCAAUCGCAGGCAGCAACUGUUGGGGUGGGCGGGGCUCGGGCGGGCGGGGAUCCGGAGCGAAGCGGCGCGGGGCGGAGUCCUCGGGCGCAGCGGCGGUGGCAGCAGCGGCGCCCCUCUGGGUGACUUGGCCGUGAGAAAGUGAAAGGAGCCCGCAGGCGGCGGCGACAGCUGCGCUGGGAGGGGCUUGUUUCCAGGCUCAGAGGCCCCGCGCACUCUGCGGGUGCGGAGCGAGCUUUUCGGUGUGCACUGUGACAACCACAAACACACUUUUGAACGUAGUGGGGCUUGGCUGCUGCGAGUUACGCAGCCACAACUUUAAACUACCGAGGGACGAUGUAAGACUGCUGUGUCGCUUUUCUUUCCUUCAAAUAAACUUUUACUCGGUACCUGUUCUUGGCAAUUAGACUGCGUUAAUCACAGCCACAAAGACGUGGAAAUGUCUGCCGUCAAGAAAUUGGAAAUCGUAUCGAGAACCCAGACUGGCAAGCCUGUUGCUAACCAACCUGCCAGGAGACCUUUCAACUGGGCAAAAUGUGC
RNAcentral lists this long non-coding RNA (594 nucleotides) under Homo sapiens (human). RNAcentral's name for it is "HSALNT0025111". Lineage: Eukaryota; Metazoa; Chordata; Mammalia; Primates; Hominidae. The record is from RNAcentral.